This 18-nucleotide small RNA is filed under the name Arabidopsis thaliana (thale cress). RNAcentral's name for it is "Ath_wt_03357". The record is from RNAcentral. Lineage: Eukaryota; Viridiplantae; Streptophyta; Magnoliopsida; Brassicales; Brassicaceae.
CGGAUGCUAACGCAAUGU